AGCGGAUAACAGCCGCGGCAGCAAAUAGCAGCAGUAGCAGUGGAGUCACGGACAACAACAGCGACAGCGGUAGCGAACAGCAACGGAAGCUAAGGAGACUCGGUCGAUGACAAAGGAAGACUCGAAGGUAGCAGGAGAAAUCAUCGACAACAAAGGCAAAGGGAGAAAUCGUCAACGGCAGAGGCAAAGGGAGAAAGCGAACGCUAGGGUUGGGAGUCAAGGUCGCGCACAGGUUUUGAGGUAACUGCGUGCGUUAGUUGGCUCAAUCGAACCAACAAAUGCACAUUUAACCGAACUCGGUUGCCUUAUAUCAACCAGGUCCUCACAGGAAUCGCCCGGUGCCCAGGCUAGAACGAGCGCCCAAGCGAUGCCUUUGAAGCGCGCUGCCUGGCCAUUAUAUGAGGCGCGAUGCCUUAUUGAAGCACGCCGCCUGGCCCUUAUAUAAGGCACUAAGGGCUCGCCUUGCCUAGCCCGAGCGCUCGAGCAACUUUUUAAAUCACUGCUUGAACAUUAAUUAACAGAUUCAAUAGCCAGCCAUUGUAAACAACCUGCAUAUUGUCACGGACAAACUUCUAAACAGGAUGUUUGAUGUAAUGCUUAUGUAUGUCCGUGUCUUUUGGUAUGUUCAUGCCUUGUACAGCAUGUAGAGGGACGACCGAAGGCUUAAUAGUCCCAUUUUAGUUGGGUUGGUGGCCUCUUUAGGCUUGUAAAUAAAGGUUGUGUCAUGUGGACACGUGCGAGAGAUUUUCGGUCUGUAAUGGACCAUUUUACCCUUUGUUGUGCAACUGUUCAGAACUUGUAAAGUCUGUUUGUAAUUUGCAUUGUCUAUGAAGUGUUUUUCGGAUAUGUUUGCUUGUGGAUCCCGAUUGAGGCGUUCUCUCUAACCCGUUCUCUCUUUUGUUGGUCCUAAGGGNNNNNNNNNNNNNNNNNNNNAGAGAUGUUGCUCCAAUGGGAUAGUUAUCCAAGAGGGAUAAGUCCCGGCUCUCCAGAGGGAGAAUCAUGUGGGACGGACCUCACAAGUUGAGGAGUACCUCAACAAACAACUCUACGAAGCUCAAUGGACUAAGCAAGCAGCGAGGAGUCGUUGCAUGAUCUCGCUCGAGAGAAUGCAUUGGUGGAUGCAUUGCGAGAUAAAGUGGGGGAGCGACCCAAAACAACUUAAAUGAAGGCACACUUGGAGUCGAUGUGGAGAUCGGACUCAAGGGAGGGCUGACCCGUGAAAUGGUGGGCGCGAGGGCCACCAUCGACUCAAUGCAAAAACGAGGAGCGGAGCAACUUGGGUGUAACUUGGAGAAGUACCCAAGCCGCAUGAAGGGAGCCAACAUAGAAGUUGGAACAUGGAGCGGAGGCACAGUGCUUUCCUUGGACAGAGGUCAAGGACAUGAACUCUUGCAGAGGCAAGAGUAGAAUCAUGUUGUUCUAUGGGUUCUUCAUCCUGACGGAGCGGACUCAUCUUGCAUGGUGCCAAAGACGAAAGGAGCUUCUGGGCACAUGCACCUUAUCUCGGAGAAGCAUUUGAUGAAGGAACUAAGGCGACUCAAUUUGCGGAGGCGAAAUUGGGUUCAGAAGGCCUUAGCACGGGGCAAGAGGACUCAGAGGUGGGUACUCUUGAAGAAUAUGCCACAGUGUUGCCAUUCAAGUUGUCAUGAAGGAAGAGGUGCGCAGCGGAGAUUGUGCUGGUAGGGGUAGAGACCCAGGAUCCAGACAAUGGUGCACAAAUUACCGUGAAGUCGGUGGACUUCGGGAGCUACUAGGCGACGGACUGUCCUAGAGCGGUGCUUCAUCUAAGUAUGACCCAAGAGUGGGUAGAUGAAGGUCGAUUGCCAAAGGAGCGAACAAAAUCGAAGGUGGAAGAGACCCUACGAUGUAUUGGCAGAGGCCACACAUGGAGGGUUCACAAUUCGAGUUUAUUCCACAAGGAUCAGAAUGCAAUGGAGAUGUCACUAGGAGGCGACAUGGUGCAGCGGAUCGUGGUGGAACAGUUCGUGGCAAUGCGAUACACACGACAUAGUCCCGUGAGGGACUAGAUCAUAUGGAGGUAUGAUCGGGAGCAACUGGAAGCUCCACUUCGGUGAACAACACGACGGCAAGAAGGGCUAUGGAUUCAAGGAGUGAAGGCCAUGGUACCGCAGAGGCGGGUCUUCCGUGCGUGCAUCGAAUUUUGCAUCGGAUGAAAGCCUUGGUCAUCAGCAUAUGGGGGCUGUGUUCCACCAAGGGAAAAGUUCGAAUGCAAGUACCAAUGAGUCCCAUGGGAGGGACUUGAUCAUGCAGAGGUAUGAUUGAAGCAGCUGGAGAGUUGGACUGCUCCAGAGCUCAUAUUCGCUUAAGGGGGCCCGGCAAGUCAGAGGACUUGGUCGAGUAAGCGAACGUUGCUACCAAGGAAGCUAAGGAGAACAGAAUCGGUGCAAACCCUGCAACGUGAUGGUAGAGGUCAUGCAUGGGAGUUGCAGUCUGUCUUUCCAUCGACCAAACGGACUGCUUGGAGAACACAGAGGUGUUGAAGCAGGGGGUCGAAAGGGGCGAGGAAGCGACGACGAGUCCAGAGGGACUUAGCUACCCAAAAUCAAGCAUCAGUUAGAAUGUAGGUGGACUCAGAAGUGUGCCACGGAGACAUCUACUGAUCGUGAAGAAAAGGGAUGCAGAUGCGAGGCGACGGAUAGUAGGGCCAUGGGCAUGGCAGCGCCAUGGUACCGCGGAGGCGGGACUUCCGUGAAAGUCAUUAAUCCCUUGCUCUCAUGGAGGGAGAGCGCUUGGUCGUGAAAGGGGCCGAGGAGGUGGAGAAUGCAGAGGCAAUCUCCAAGUACCGAGACAAGGCUGAAGGGCAGAGGCCGAAGAACUUCAUAAGACCGGUGUCAAUGAGCUUCUCAUCAAGAUAGACGAAAGUGAAGGACUUCGGGUCAUGCAAGAGUGCAUAACCAAGGAACGAAGCAGGCAGUACGCGGUGCUGUACCUUCGCUACUCAGGGGAGUAGGCGGCAAGGUCGAUUGAGAAGAUGAUACAAUCCCAGAGGCGACCAAACCUAUGAGAGAAUUACUCCAAGUUGGGGUGAAAACUUCCUGCAUUCCAGAAGUUCGAUAGCAUUGAGAAGGUGAAUCACAGUAACUAACUCAACGCAAGGAGUGCAAACACUUCAAGUGCUUCAGAAGUGUGAGCAAAGAGCAGGCAAAGGCUAGUAACCAGCUCGAUGCAUGGAGUACAACCUCGAGGAGGCGAGCGAAGUCAAGUAACCUUUGCCUUCUCAACCCUUAAGAGAAUGGGCGAAACCGAGUACCCCAAUUCUCUUAUCUAUCCAGCAGAGGAGCUCUGCACAAGUUCAAAGACCCUUCGAAGAUAAUGGAAGACAAUAGUUGUCAAAUCCUCACCAACGGUGAUCAGUGCUACUGAGAGUAGAUUGUCCGCUUCAUUUCCUAACGAAAUGUCAAUCGAAAGCGGAAGUGAUGCGAACCUACUUGGAUGUGACAACUAAGUGAAAGAAGAGUCAAUGAGCAAAUUUUGUGCAGAAAGGACCCAAAACUUCAGAAGUUUACGAGACGAUGCUCGUUAAAGCUCCAACAAGCAUCCACCCAGUUCAAGCAGCGUGAGGAAUUUGAGAGACUGACGCAUUAAGGAUGGUCUUUUCCUUCAUCUAGGGGAUCUGCAGGAAUCAACAAGGAUCAACACAACUCAGCCAACCCCACACCAGAGUCAGAGUCAUUGGUGAGUUGAAGCAGCAUGGCGGAUUAAAAGGUUCGACUACUCAAAAACAGCAGCAGGGAGCAGCUGGGAGCCAAGAGGCGCAUUGUAGCUGGAGCAGAAGAUUGAAGACUCGGCAAAGGCGAGGAGUUGCAGUGUCGACAAAGGCUUCAACGAGGACGUCGAAGGAAUAAGUGGGGGAGAAUGUCACGGACAAACUUCUAAACAGGAUGUUUGAUGUAAUGCUUAUGUAUGUCCGUGUCUUUUGGUAUGUUCAUGCCUUGUACAGCAUGUAGAGGGACGGUCGAAGGCUUAAUAAUCUCAUUUUAGUUGGGUUGGUGACCUCUUUAGGCUUAUAAAUAAAGGUUGUGUCAUGUGGACACGUGCGAGAGAUUUUCGGUCUGUAAUGGACCAUUUUACCCUUUGUUGUGCAACUGUUCAGAGCUUGUAAAGUCUGUUUGUAAUUUGCAUUGUCUAUGAAGUGUUUUUCGGAGAUGUUUACUUGUGGAUCCCGAUUGAGGCGUUCUCUCUAUCCCGUUCUCUCUCUUGUUGGUCCUAAGGGACAAU
This 4239-nucleotide long non-coding RNA is filed under the name Musa acuminata (dwarf banana). RNAcentral describes it as "long non-coding RNA (MACU_LNC003451)". The record is from RNAcentral. Lineage: Eukaryota; Viridiplantae; Streptophyta; Magnoliopsida; Zingiberales; Musaceae.